CUAUAACCUUUUAACAAGCAUGGAAAGGGAAGUCUGAGAUUUGACCCUUGACAACUUCUGGAAAGCACUGUUCAGUCAAGCUAGCUGGGACAUAAUCCAGGUUGCCUGCUAGAGUGUGAGGUGGAUGUUGGCUUCACUCCUGCUGUGCUUUGUGCUGGCCCAAGAGAGUGAACAUUCUCAUUCUUCCCGUGGCAGCUGAUUCUUUGGUACCAGUUUCCGUUCGUUUCCCCUUUUCUCCAUAGGUCUUGUGCAGAAAGGCUUUCACUUUGCAUCCAUGUUCUGGGGGUAAAGUACAGAUUGGAGAUAGAGAUUCCUGCAGGGUCAGGAGCAGGGCUGAAGUCCCCAAAGUAGGCUGUGCCUCAGAAAAAAAAAAUGUUUCUUUUCUAGAUGUGGAACCCUGGGAGAACUAAGGUGAUUUCAGAAGAGUUUUUGGGUUUUGUUUUUUUUGUUUUUUGGUUUUUUUUUUUAGAAACAAGGAAAACUUUGUAAUUCUUUCCAAGAACAUUUGGUUUCAAUUUCAAUACCAAGACUAGGGAUUGGCUCUUCCUUUGAUAUCACUCUAGCUGUAUUAAGAGGGAAAAGAAAUUAAACCCACCAAAGAAAACAUCACAAAAGGAAAUCAGUGUAAUGGUACAAAACAGAGGUACAGAGCUGUGCAGAGAAAGCAGGAAGUGAAGUAUCUCCCUACUCCCUUGAGUCUACUCAUCUGACCCUUUGGUGUUGACUUCAUUUGGUAAGCCCCAUCUUCAGAUGACAGAUUACUAAAAACAAUGAGGAGUUUUUAUCCUUUGGUUUUGUUUAGGAGUCUUCAAGAUGCAGAGUUCAGAAGAAAUUCCUCAGAACUAAUUUCUAGUACUUAAGCCAACAACAGUUCUAAAAUGCUAUUUAUUUGUGUCUGUAAGAUUGUACAUAUACUACCAACCUCAUACUGUUGUGGAUUAUUUUCU
This 947-nucleotide long non-coding RNA is filed under the name Bos taurus (domestic cattle). RNAcentral's name for it is "long non-coding RNA NONBTAT014297". Lineage: Eukaryota; Metazoa; Chordata; Mammalia; Artiodactyla; Bovidae. The record is from RNAcentral.